UUCGCAAUGCCCGAAAGGGUGAACGAGCGACGCCGCGUGCGGGAUGAAGGGUUUCGGCUUGUAAACCGCUUUUCUUUGGGAAGAAGGUCUGUCUCGUGCAGAUGGGCUCGACGGUACCAGAGGAAUAAGCCUCGGCUAACUCCGUGCCAGCAGCCGCGGUAAGACGGAGGAGGCAAGCGUUGUUCGGAAUUAUUGGGCGUAAAGGGCGCGUAGGCGGAUCGGUAAGUCCGGUGUGAAAUCUCCCCGGUUUACCGGGGAAAUGUCGCUGGUACCUACUGAUUUGGAUGUCGGAGGGGAAACUGGAAUUUCCAGGGGUACGGGGGGAUGGCUUAAAUUUUGGAUGAACCACCGGGGGCGAAGGCAGUGGUCGGGCUGUAACUGGACCUUAAGGGCCGAAGCUCAGGGAAGCAAACGGAAUUAAUUACCCGGGUAUUCUGGGCUUUAAACAAUGGGAACUAAUUAAAGGGGUUUU
Molecule: ribosomal RNA, 472 nt
Filed under: uncultured bacterium
Lineage: Bacteria
Description: bacterial SSU rRNA
Rfam family: Bacterial small subunit ribosomal RNA
Source: RNAcentral